Molecule: microRNA precursor, 77 nt
Filed under: Pelobates cultripes (western spadefoot toad)
Lineage: Eukaryota; Metazoa; Chordata; Amphibia; Anura; Pelobatidae
Source: RNAcentral
CUCAGUGCUCCCUGUAUAGUGCUGCUCUCUGUAUAAUCCCAAAACAGAGAGCAGCACUAUACAGGAAGCACUGACUA